This 1488-nucleotide unclassified non-coding RNA is filed under the name Leishmania donovani. RNAcentral's name for it is "gene:LdHU3.35.5460(CDS-product:hypothetical_prote in_conserved)". Lineage: Eukaryota; Euglenozoa; Kinetoplastea; Trypanosomatida; Trypanosomatidae. The record is from RNAcentral.
UCGCCUCUCGGUGCACCGCUUCCACCGCACCCCAUCCACACCGACGUCCCCAAACACGCGCACGCUGUGGAGAGUUGCCGGCUGCCGUCGGCACACCAGUGCGCCCGCUAAAGAGAACAGGCGCGAGCUGCAGCCUAGCUGAAGCUGACUUUUUUCUUUUAUGGCACGUGUGGGCCCGUUCGCGGACACUCGCACAUGCCGCCCAAAGCACCCAACCUCAAGUUUAAGCCGAAGCUUGUGCUUCGUGAGGAUGACACGGCCGCGCGUCCUCCUGCUACACAGGCCACCGGAGAUCUAAGCCUCUUGCAGCUGGCUCGCCUGCAAGGUCUCUACAUCGAGGAGCAGGCGCCAUCCUCGUCGGAAGCCGUCGCCGGCCUAGGAGACCGACUGGCGCCGGCCUCGUCUUCCCCUGCGCACGGUGGGGGUGAUGGCGAGGGACGUGGCCCCGCUGAAUCGUCAUCCGACCCACGCGGGGGACAUCCACAGCAACGCUGCACAAAUCUGUCGAGCAACGGGGAUGGUGCGCGGGGAAUCGCAGCGUCCUCACUCUUGCGCCCCAGGGGCCGCAGCCACAAUCUGAGUGCCCACGCUGCCCUCGAGGAGGCUUCACGCAGGCACGUCGACAUCUCCCAAUACCCUGAGGUGGCGCCGCCGCUUCCACACAACUCGAUGAACACGAUCGUAGCGCCGAGUGCAUUACGCAACGAUGACCCCAUGCACUCAGGGCUGUACGCCCCACUUCCGCUCGACGCUUCUUUGCCGUCGCGACUCGCAGCAGAAGAAUGCAUUGCUUUCUCUGCGGCUCAAGGCGUGGUAAGCGGCACGCCGCAGUCGUCGGCUGCGACACCGAUGGAUGUUGACGGCACUGCCUUCUUGCGCGAGGCGGAGUUGGAGCAGCAGCGCGCCUACGCAGCGAACAUGCGCUUUUACGAGGACAGCCUGCGCCCCAUGCAAGCCAGUGUGCCGUCUGCAACUGCAGCACCUGGGGGGCUGGUGUGGAUGCAGCUUCCCCGCUUUCACGAAAAUGCGCCCUUCUCAUUCUUCGAUCUUCCACCUGGCAAGGUAGGUGUGCUGAAGGUGCUGCGUAGCGGCCGUAUGGUGCUGGAGGUUGCGGGCGUGCACUACGACGUCGCGGUGGAGGGGUACGAGGACGCCGGCAACGACGGCGCCUGUGCGAUGGCGGUGGCGACCCAGCCGAGCGCGUACCCGUCCAAUCCGUCCUCGAAGGCCAGCUGCUACGAGCUCGGCCUGCUGCAGAGGAAGCUGAUCUGCACCCCCACUCUUCCGUGAGCGAGGCUUACGGCGCUCGUGCCACACGAGAGCGAAGUCAGAGCCAGAAGAAACGCGGGAAUACUGCGGUUCCACCGCGAAGAUAGGCCCUCGCGCUGCUGCUGGCCUGUGUGGCAUCACAGCUGUGUAUGAGGGUCCCUGAGUGCUCAGUUUCCGUAAAGCUCGUUUAAGACAUCACGUUUGCGCAGCCAUUUUUAC